GGUCCCGUAGAUCAGUCGGUUAGAGCGUUGGUCUUAAGAGCCGAAGGAAGCGGGUUUGAGCCCCGUCGGGACCA
Transfer RNA from Ipomoea nil (Japanese morning glory), 74 nucleotides. It matches the Rfam family "tRNA". Rfam says of the family: Transfer RNA (tRNA) molecules are approximately 80 nucleotides in length. Their secondary structure includes four short double-helical elements and three loops (D, anti-codon, and T loops). The record is from Rfam. Lineage: Eukaryota; Viridiplantae; Streptophyta; Magnoliopsida; Solanales; Convolvulaceae.